Non-coding RNA from Triticum aestivum (bread wheat), 126 nucleotides. The record is from Rfam. Lineage: Eukaryota; Viridiplantae; Streptophyta; Magnoliopsida; Poales; Poaceae.
GAAGUACUUCCUCCGUUCGAAAACGCUUCUCCCAACCUUGUUUCUCAAAUGGAUGUAUCUAGCACUAAUUUGGUGCUAGAUACAUUCAUUUGAGGGGCAAGUUUUUUCGGACGGAGGGAGUAAUAA